AGCCGCCCUGGCGGAGGACGGCACCGAGCCGACGGCGCUCCUCGACGCCAUGGGUGCGGCGCUGCGGUUCGACGUCGCGGACGACGA
Molecule: transfer RNA, 87 nt
Filed under: Curtobacterium pusillum
Lineage: Bacteria; Bacillati; Actinomycetota; Actinomycetes; Micrococcales; Microbacteriaceae
Description: tRNA-Arg
Source: RNAcentral